AAUAUUGGACAAUGGGGGCAACCCUGAUCCAGCCAUGCCGCGUGUGUGAAGAAGGUCUUCGGAUUGUAAAGCACUUUAAGUUGGGAGGAAGGGCUUUAGGUUAAUACGCUGCAGUUUUGACGUUACCAACAGAAUAAGCACCGGCUAACUCAUUUCCAGCAACCGCGGUAAUAAAGAGGGUGCAAGCGUUAAUCGGAAUUACUGGGCGUAAAGAGCGCGUAGGUGGGUCAGUAAGAUGGGUGUGAAAUCCCCGGGCUUAAACUGGGAACUGCUUUCAUAACUGCUGAGCUAGAGUAGGGUAGAGGGUAGUGGAAUUUCCUGUGUAGCGGUGAAAUGCGUAGAUAUAGGAAGGAACACCAGUGGCGAAGGCGACUACCUGGACUGAUACUGACACUGAGGUGCGAAAGCGUGGGGAGCAAAC
RNAcentral lists this ribosomal RNA (421 nucleotides) under uncultured bacterium. RNAcentral's name for it is "partial 16S ribosomal RNA". It matches the Rfam family "Bacterial small subunit ribosomal RNA", at positions 360 to 773 of the family's 1533-position model. The record is from RNAcentral.